Ribosomal RNA from Pteropus vampyrus (large flying fox), 119 nucleotides. Lineage: Eukaryota; Metazoa; Chordata; Mammalia; Chiroptera; Pteropodidae. The record is from Ensembl.
CUCUAUCGCCAUGCCAACCUGAAUGCGCUGGAUCUCGUCUGAUCUCGGAAGCUAAGCAGGGUCGGCGCUGGUUAGUACUUGGAUCGGAGAAAGCCUGUGAAUACCGGCUGCAGCAGGCU